GACGAACGCUGGCGGCGUGCUUAACACAUGCAAGUCGAACGGAAAGGCCCUGCUUUUGUGGGGUGCUCGAGUGGCGAACGGGUGAGUAACACGUGAGUAACCUGCCCUUGACUUUGGGAUAACUUCAGGAAACUGGGGCUAAUACCGGAUAGGAGCUCCUGCUGCAUGGUGGGGGUUGGAAAGUUUCGGCGGUUGGGGAUGGACUCGCGGCUUAUCAGCUUGUUGGUGGGGUAGUGGCUUACCAAGGCUUUGACGGGUAGCCGGCCUGAGAGGGUGACCGGGCACAUUGGGGCUGAGAUACGGCCCAGACUCCUACGGGAGGCAGCAGUGGGGAAUAUUGCACAAUGGGCGGAAGCCUGAUGCAGCAACGCCGCGUGCGGGAUGACGGCCUUCGGGUUGUAAACCGCUUUCGCCUGUGACGAAGCGUGAGUGACGGUAAUGGGUAAAGAAGCACCGGCUAACUACGUG
RNAcentral lists this ribosomal RNA (468 nucleotides) under uncultured bacterium. RNAcentral describes it as "partial 16S ribosomal RNA". It matches the Rfam family "Bacterial small subunit ribosomal RNA", at positions 28 to 507 of the family's 1533-position model. The record is from RNAcentral.